This 410-nucleotide ribosomal RNA is filed under the name Zanda latirostris (slender-billed black-cockatoo). RNAcentral's name for it is "Calyptorhynchus latirostris (slender-billed black-cockatoo) partial 12S ribosomal RNA". It matches the Rfam family "Bacterial small subunit ribosomal RNA", at positions 783 to 1389 of the family's 1533-position model. Lineage: Eukaryota; Metazoa; Chordata; Aves; Psittaciformes; Cacatuidae. The record is from RNAcentral.
UACCCCACUAUGCCUGGCCCUAAAUCUUGAUGCUUUCCAUACAAAAACAUCCGCCCGAGAACUACGAGCACAAACGCUUAAAACUCUAAGGACUUGGCGGUGCCCUAAACCCACCUAGAGGAGCCUGUUCUAUAAUCGACAAUCCACGAUACACCCGACCACUCCUUGCCAAAACAGCCUACAUACCGCCGUCAUCAGCCCACCUUUAUGAAAGCACAAUAGUGAGCCCAACAGUCCACCCACUAACAAGACAGGUCAAGGUAUAGCCUAUGGAGUGGAAGAAAUGGGCUACAUUUUCUAAAAUAGACAAAUCCAACGAAAGGAGGCCUGAAAUCUGCCCCAGAAGGCGGAUUUAGCAGUAAAGAGGGACAAUAGAGCCCUCUUUAAGCUGGCCCUAGGGCACGUACAUA